Molecule: ribosomal RNA, 759 nt
Filed under: uncultured bacterium
Lineage: Bacteria
Description: bacterial SSU rRNA
Rfam family: Bacterial small subunit ribosomal RNA
Source: RNAcentral
CCCUUAGAGUUUGAUCCUGGCUCAGAAUGAACGUUGGCGGCGUGGAUUAGGCAUGCAAGUCGAGCGAGAACCGGCCUUCGGGCCGGGGAAAGCGGCAAACGGGGUAGGAAUACGUCGGUACGUACCCUCCAGUCUGGGAUAGCCACGGGAAACUGUGGGUAAUACCGGAUGAUCUCUGUUCCCGGAAGGGGACUGAGCAAAGGUGAGAUUCCGCUGGGGGAGCGGCUGACGCAGUAUUAGCUAGUUGGUAGGGUAAUGGCCUACCAAGGCGAUGAUGCUUAGGGGGUGUGAGAGCAUGGCCCCCACCACUGGCACUGAGACACUGGCCAGACACUUACGGGUGGCUGCAGUCGAGAAUCUUCGGCAAUGGGCGCAAGCCUGACCGAGCGACGCCGCGUGCGGGAUGAAGGCCCUUGGGUUGUAAACCGCUGUCAGGGGGGAUGAAAUGCACGGGGGUACUCCCCUGUGUUUGACAGAGCCCCAGAGGAAGCACGGGCUAAGUUCGUGCCAGCAGCCGCGGUAAUACGAACUGUGCGAACGUUAUUCGGAAUCACUGGGCUUACAGGGUGCGUAGGCGGUCGAUGGAGUAGGGUGUGAAAUGCCUUGGCUCAACCAAGGCACAGCGCUCUAAACUGAUUGACUGGAGCGAGCUAGGGGUAUACGGAACUUCCGGUGGAGCGGUGAAAUGUGUUGAUAUCGGAAGGAACGCCGGUGGCGAAAGCGGUAUACUGGGGCUUGUCUGACGCUGAGCACGAAAGC